This is a non-coding RNA of Ictidomys tridecemlineatus (thirteen-lined ground squirrel), 72 nucleotides long. The record is from Rfam. NCBI's taxonomy places the organism in Eukaryota, Metazoa, Chordata, Mammalia, Rodentia, Sciuridae.
GGGGUUGUGGCUCAGUGGUAGAGCACUCGCCUAAUAUGUGUGAGACACUGGGUUUGAUCCUCAGCAACACAU